UACGGGGGGGGCAAGCGUUGUUCGGAAUUACUGGGCGUAAAGGGCUCGUAGGCGGCCAACUAAGUCGGAUGUGAAAUCCCCAGGCUUAACCUGGGAACUGCAUCCGAUACUGGAUGGCUUGAAUCCGGGAGAGGGAUGCAGAAUUCCAGGUGUAGCGGUGAAAUGCGUAGAUAUCUGGAGGAAUACCGGUGGCGAAGGCGGCAUCCUGGACCGGCAUUGACGCUGAACGGCGAAAGCUAGGGGAGCAAACGGG
Molecule: ribosomal RNA, 253 nt
Filed under: uncultured bacterium
Lineage: Bacteria
Description: partial 16S ribosomal RNA
Rfam family: Bacterial small subunit ribosomal RNA
Source: RNAcentral